GCCGCGGCGAUAGCUCAGUGGGCAAAGCGCCAGGUGAGUAGAUGGCGAUUGCUCCGAGAGCUAUUAUCCGCGCGGGUUCGAAUCCCGCAUGUGGCA
This 96-nucleotide transfer RNA is filed under the name Aromia moschata. Its description in RNAcentral is "tRNA-OTHER". Lineage: Eukaryota; Metazoa; Arthropoda; Insecta; Coleoptera; Cerambycidae. The record is from RNAcentral.